UAGGGAAUCUUCGGCAAUGGGGGGAACCCUGACCGAGCAACGCCGCGUGAGUGAAGAAGGUUUUCGGAUCGUAAAGCUCUGUUGUUAAGGAAGAACGAGUGUGAGAAUGGAAAGUUCAUACUGUGACGGUACUUAACCAGAAAGGGACGGCUAACUACGUGCCAGCAGCAGCGGUAAUACGUAGGUCCCGAGCGUUAUCCGGAUUUAUUGGGCGUAAAGCGAGCGCAGGCGGUUAGAUAAGUCUGAAGUUAAAGGCAGUGGCUCAACCAUUGUAGGCUUUGGAAACUGUUUAACUUGAGUGAAGAAGGGGAGAGUGGAAUUCCAUGUGUAGCGGUGAAAUGCGUAGAUAUAUGGAGGAACACCGGUGGCGAAAGCGGCUCUCUGGUCUGUAACUGACGCUGAGGCUCGAAAGCGUGGGGAGCGAGCAGG
RNAcentral lists this ribosomal RNA (429 nucleotides) under Bacteroidota bacterium. Its description in RNAcentral is "Bacteroidetes bacterium partial 16S ribosomal RNA". It matches the Rfam family "Bacterial small subunit ribosomal RNA", at positions 355 to 776 of the family's 1533-position model. Lineage: Bacteria; Pseudomonadati; Bacteroidota. The record is from RNAcentral.